RNAcentral lists this ribosomal RNA (105 nucleotides) under Enterobacter hormaechei. The record is from RNAcentral. Lineage: Bacteria; Pseudomonadati; Pseudomonadota; Gammaproteobacteria; Enterobacterales; Enterobacteriaceae.
UAGCGCGGUGGUCCCACCUGACCCCAUGCCGAACUCAGAAGUGAAACGCCGUAGCGCCGAUGGUAGUGUGGGGUCUCCCCAUGUGAGAGUAGGGGACUGCCAGGC